Molecule: transfer RNA, 69 nt
Filed under: Eoneureclipsis hainanensis
Lineage: Eukaryota; Metazoa; Arthropoda; Insecta; Trichoptera; Psychomyiidae
Description: tRNA-Arg
Source: RNAcentral
UAAUAUGAAUACAAAAUUUCAUGUAAUUUAAUUUCGACUUAAAAAUUGGAUAAAAAUAUCCCAUAUUUU